GCUACACAUGCAAGUCGAGCGGAACGAGUUAUCUGAACCUUCGGGGAACGAUAACGGCGUCGAGCGGCGGACGGGUGAGUAAUGCCUAGGAAAUUGCCCUGAUGUGGGGGAUAACCAUUGGAAACGAUGGCUAAUACCGCAUGAUGCCUACGGGCCAAAGAGGGGGACCUUCGGGCCUCUCGCGUCAGGAUAUGCCUAGGUGGGAUUAGCUAGUUGGUGAGGUAAGGGCUCACCAAGGCGACGAUCCCUAGCUGGUCUGAGAGGAUGAUCAGCCACACUGGAACUGAGACACGGUCCAGACUCCUACAGGAGGCAGCA
This 318-nucleotide ribosomal RNA is filed under the name uncultured Vibrio sp. Its description in RNAcentral is "bacterial SSU rRNA". It matches the Rfam family "Bacterial small subunit ribosomal RNA", at positions 50 to 353 of the family's 1533-position model. Lineage: Bacteria; Pseudomonadati; Pseudomonadota; Gammaproteobacteria; Vibrionales; Vibrionaceae. The record is from RNAcentral.